This 514-nucleotide ribosomal RNA is filed under the name uncultured bacterium. RNAcentral describes it as "bacterial SSU rRNA". It matches the Rfam family "Bacterial small subunit ribosomal RNA", at positions 34 to 507 of the family's 1533-position model. The record is from RNAcentral.
CGCUGGCGGCGUGCCUAAUACAUGCAAGUCGAACGCACUCUCGUUUAGAUUGAAGGAGCUUGCUCCUGAUUGAUAAACAUUUGAGUGAGUGGCGGACGGGUGAGUAACACGUGGGUAACCUGCCCUAAAGUGGGGGAUAACAUUUGGAAACAGAUGCUAAUACCGCAUAAAACCCAACACCGCAUGGUGUAGGGUUGAAAGAUGGUUUCGGCUAUCACUUUAGGAUGGACCCGCGGUGCAUUAGUUAGUUGGUGAGGUAAAGGCUCACCAAGACCGUGAUGCAUAGCCGACCUGAGAGGGUAAUCGGCCACACUGGGACUGAGACACGGCCCAGACUCCUACGGGAGGCAGCAGUAGGGAAUCUUCCACAAUGGACGAAAGUCUGAUGGAGCAACGCCGCGUGAGUGAAGAAGGUUUUCGGAUCGUAAAACUCUGUUGUUGGAGAAGAAUGUAUCUGAUAGUAACUGAUCAGGUAGUGACGGUAUCCAACCAGAAAGCCACGGCUAACUACGUG